Molecule: ribosomal RNA, 253 nt
Filed under: uncultured bacterium
Lineage: Bacteria
Description: partial 16S ribosomal RNA
Rfam family: Bacterial small subunit ribosomal RNA
Source: RNAcentral
CACGUAGGGCGCGAGCGUUGUCCGGAAUUAUUGGGCGUAAAGAGCUCGUAGGCGGCCUGUUGCGUCCGCUGUGAAAGCCCGGGGCUUAACCCCGGGUCUGCAGUGGAUACGGGCAGGCUAGAGGUAGGUAGGGGAGAAUGGAAUUCCCGGUGUAGCGGUGAAAUGCGCAGAUAUCAGGAGGAACACCGGUGGCGAAGGCGGUUCUCUGGGCCUCACCUGACGCUGAGGAGCGAAAGCGUGGGGAGCGAACAGG